This 490-nucleotide ribosomal RNA is filed under the name uncultured bacterium. Its description in RNAcentral is "partial 16S ribosomal RNA". It matches the Rfam family "Bacterial small subunit ribosomal RNA", at positions 30 to 507 of the family's 1533-position model. The record is from RNAcentral.
AUUGAACGCUGGCGGCAGGCCUAACACAUGCAAGUCGAACGGUAACAGGAAGAAGCUUGCUUCUUUGCUGACGAGUGGCGGACGGGUGAGAAAUGUCUGGGAAACUGCCUGAUGGAGGGGGAUAACUACUGGAAACGGUAGCUAAUACCGCAUAACGUCGCAAGACCAAAGAGGGGGACCUUCGGGCCUCUUGCCAUCGGAUGUGCCCAGAUGGGAUUAGCUAGUAGGUGGGGUAACGGCUCACCUAGGCGACGAUCCGUAGCUGGUCUGAGAGGAGGACAGGCCACACUGGAACUGAGACACGGUCCAGACUCCUACGGGAGGCAGCAGUGGGGAAUAUUGCACAAUGGGCGCAAGUCUGAUGCAGCCAUGCCGCGUGUAUGAAGAAGGCCUUCGGGUUGUAAAGUACUUUCAGCGGGGAGGAAGGGAGUAAAGUUAAUACCUUGCCUGAUUGACGUUACCCGCAGAAGAAGCACCGGCUAACUCCGUG